UUUUUUUUUUUUUUUUUUUUUUUUUCAUCU
This 30-nucleotide non-coding RNA is filed under the name Alexandrium minutum. The record is from RNAcentral. Lineage: Eukaryota; Dinophyceae; Gonyaulacales; Pyrocystaceae.